UAAACCUCUGGUGAUAGAAGCCAGAAGACCGUCUCCUUUGGGGUGAUGUUUUCCUCCUCUGGGAAGUCCCUCCAGACCAGUGCAUCUUGGUGCCAGGUGCUCACAUUCUCGAAGCCCCGCAGAGCUGCCAUGGGUCCCGCGCACAGUGUUCCAAGGCCAGAACAAUAGGAACCAUAAACUCCAGUCUACGAAAGAGGCAUAUUCCCAUUUCACAGGUGACAAGUCUGAGGACUGUGGAGG
Canis lupus familiaris (dog) is the source of this 240-nucleotide long non-coding RNA. RefSeq lists it as uncharacterized. Lineage: Eukaryota; Metazoa; Chordata; Mammalia; Carnivora; Canidae. The transcript is spliced from 3 exons. The record is from RefSeq and is a predicted model, not a curated record.